GAUGAACGCUAGCUACAGGCUUAACACAUGCAAGUCGAACGAGAAUCUACUGAAAGAGUUUUCGGACAAUGGAAGUAGAGGAAAGUGGCGGACGGGUGAGUAACGCGUGAGGAACCUGCCUUGAAGAGGGGGACAACAGUUGGAAACGACUGCUAAUACCGCAUGAUGCAUAGGGGUCGCAUGAUUCUUAUGCCAAAGAUUUAUCGCUUCAAGAUGGCCUCGCGUCCGAUUAGCUAGUUGGCGGGGUAACGGCCCACCAAGGCGACGAUCAGUAGCCGGACUGAGAGGUUGAACGGCCACAUUGGGACUGAGAUACGGCCCAGACUCCUACGGGAGGCAGCAGUGGGGAAUAUUGGGCAAUGGGCGCAAGCCUGACCCAGCAACGCCGCGUGAAGGAAGAAGGCUUUCGGAUUGUAAACUCCUGUUGUUGAGGAAGAUAAUGACGGUACGUCAACAAGGAAGUGACGGC
Molecule: ribosomal RNA, 469 nt
Filed under: uncultured bacterium
Lineage: Bacteria
Description: bacterial SSU rRNA
Rfam family: Bacterial small subunit ribosomal RNA
Source: RNAcentral